GAUGAACGCUGGCGGCGUGCCUAAUACAUGCAAGUCGAACGCUUCACUUCGGUGAAGAGUGGCGAACGGGUGAGUAAUACAUAAGUAACCUGGCAUCUACAGGGGGAUAACUGAUGGAAACGUCAGCUAAGACCGCAUAGGUGUAGAGAUCGCAUGAACUCUAUAUGAAAAGUGCUACGGGACUGGUAGAUGAUGGACUUAUGGCGCAUUAGCUUGUUGGUAGGGUAACGGCCUACCAAGGCGACGAUGCGUAGCCGACCUGAGAGGGUGACCGGCCACACUGGGACUGAGACACGGCCCAGACUCCUACGGGAGGCAGCAGUAGGGAAUUUUCGGCAAUGGUGGAAACCCUGACCGAGCAACGCCGCGUGAAGGAAGAAGUAAUUCGUUAUGUAAACUUCUGUCAUAGAGGAAGAACGGUGGAUAUAGGGAAUGAUAUCCAAGUGACGGUACUCUAUAAGAAAGCCACGGCUAACUACGUG
RNAcentral lists this ribosomal RNA (482 nucleotides) under uncultured bacterium. RNAcentral describes it as "partial 16S ribosomal RNA". It matches the Rfam family "Bacterial small subunit ribosomal RNA", at positions 28 to 507 of the family's 1533-position model. The record is from RNAcentral.